AGUGAACGCUGGCGGUAGGCCUAACACAUGCAAGUCGAACGGCAGCACAGUAAGAGCUUGCUCUUACGGGUGGCGAGUGGCGGACGGGUGAGGAAUACAUCGGAAUCUACUUUUUCGUGGGGGAUAACGUAGGGAAACUUAUGCUAAUACCGCAUACGAUCUACGGGUUGAAUUAGGGGAUCUUCGGACCUUUCGCGAUUGAUUGAGCCGAUGUCGGAUUAGCUAGUUGGCGGGGUAAAGGCCCACCAAGGCGACGAUCCGUAGCUGGUCUGAGAGGAUGAUCAGCCACACUGGAACUGAGACACGGUCCAGACUCCUACGGGAGGCAGCAGUGGGGAACAUUGGACAAUGGGCGCAAGCCUGAUCCAGCCAUACCGCGUGGGUGAAGAAGGCCUUCGGGUUGUAAAGCCCUUUUGUUAGGAAAGAAAAGAAGCAGGUUAAUACCCCGCUGUUCUGACGGUACCCAAUGAAUAAGCACCGGCUAACUUCGUG
This 492-nucleotide ribosomal RNA is filed under the name uncultured bacterium. Its description in RNAcentral is "partial 16S ribosomal RNA". It matches the Rfam family "Bacterial small subunit ribosomal RNA", at positions 29 to 507 of the family's 1533-position model. The record is from RNAcentral.